RNAcentral lists this ribosomal RNA (329 nucleotides) under Salmonella enterica subsp. enterica serovar Infantis. RNAcentral's name for it is "partial 23S ribosomal RNA". It matches the Rfam family "Bacterial large subunit ribosomal RNA", at positions 192 to 559 of the family's 2925-position model. RNAcentral also lists the same sequence under 3 other names. The record is from RNAcentral. Lineage: Bacteria; Pseudomonadati; Pseudomonadota; Gammaproteobacteria; Enterobacterales; Enterobacteriaceae.
ACUGAAACAUCUAAGUACCCCGAGGAAAAGAAAUCAACCGAGAUUCCCCCAGUAGCGGCGAGCGAACGGGGAGGAGCCCAGAGCCUGAAUCAGCAUGUGUGUUAGUGGAAGCGUCUGGAAAGGCGCGCGAUACAGGGUGACAGCCCCGUACACAAAAGCGCAUGUGCUGUGAGCUCGAUGAGUAGGGCGGGACACGUGGUAUCCUGUCUGAAUAUGGGGGGACCAUCCUCCAAGGCUAAAUACUCCUGACUGACCGAUAGUGAACCAGUACCGUGAGGGAAAGGCGAAAAGAACCCCGGCGAGGGGAGUGAAAAAGAACCUGAAACCGU